Molecule: long non-coding RNA, 835 nt
Organism: Beta vulgaris subsp. vulgaris (sugar beet)
Lineage: Eukaryota; Viridiplantae; Streptophyta; Magnoliopsida; Caryophyllales; Amaranthaceae
Exons: 2
Source: RefSeq, a predicted model, not a curated record
AUAAGAACCAUAAAAAAACCCCAAAUCUAUAAACUAAACCCCAUUUCCGUGUUCUUUUGCUCGACAAAACCGAAACCCCAAAUCCCCAUAUUCUCAAUCUCUCUCUCCUCUGUUCGCCGCGGCAUCUUAUGGUCACCGGAGCCGCGCCUUUCUCGCCGGCGUUCUUGCUGCGCGUGUGGUGCUGCUCGCAAGCCACCACACCGUUGCUCUCUCUCUCCUCCCAGUGAACCUUCGAGUUCUCUCACUCACCGUCGCCUGCGCGUCGCCGGCGAUUCUUCGAGGCUCGCCGGAGUUUUCCCCCUUGUCAGCGCCGUCUGUUCUCGUUUUCUCUUUCAUCCUCCUGAUUCGUGCUGCUGUUGUUCGCGGUUGGUGGUUCUUUCUUCGCGCCACCUUGCCGUCGUCAGUGCUACUGUGUGCUUGGUGCUGCCGCCUAUCUAAGGUGAUCUUGUUGGUGAUUUUGUUGUUAUUAUUGUUGCUGCGUUGUUGCCGAAGCUUCGAAAAUCUCCCUCGACCUUUCUAUUUCUCGGUUCUUCUCUGUCUUCGCUGCUCCUAAUAGAGCAGAGUUUUCCUAAAUGUUUCAGGUUGAAGCCGAAAGUUAACCUUUGCAAGUUGAAGCUGAUACAAGCUGGAGUAGUAUUAUAGUUGCUAUCGAAGUGAGGACGCUUGACUUUGUAAUAGUUAGUUGUUUAUAAUCUAUAGUUAUUUCUACAUUUAAGAGUCGCUAGUUAGUGCUCCUGAUUCUCUAUUGGUUGUUGCUCCGCGAAAGCGUUGAGAUUGUUGAGCUUUGGGAUUUGGAUAUAUUUUAUAAAUUGAAUUUGCAAACAGGUUUAUAUCA